Molecule: ribosomal RNA, 806 nt
Filed under: uncultured bacterium
Lineage: Bacteria
Description: bacterial SSU rRNA
Rfam family: Bacterial small subunit ribosomal RNA
Source: RNAcentral
AGAGUUUGAUCAUGGCUCAGGAUGAACGCUGGCGGCGUGCCUAAUACAUGCAAGUCGAGCGAACGGACGAGAAGCUUGCUUCUCUGAUGUUAGCGGCGGACGGGUGAGUAACACGUGGAUAACCUACCUAUAAGACUGGGAUAACUUCGGGAAACCGGAGCUAAUACCAGAUAAUAUUUUGAACCGCAUGGUUCAAAAGUGAAAGACGGUCUUGCUGUCACUUAUAGAUGGAUCCGCGCUGCAUUAGCUAGUUGGUAAGGUAACGGCUUACCAAGGCAACGAUGCAUAGCCGACCUGAGAGGGUGAUCGGCCACACUGGAACUGAGACACGGUCCAGACUCCCACGGGAGGCAGCAGUAGGGAAUCUUCCGCAAUGGGCGAAAGCCUGACGGAGCAACGCCGCGUGAGUGAUGAAAGUCUUCGGAUCGUAAAACUCUGUUAUUAGGGAAGAACAUAUGUGUAAGUAACUGUGCACAUCUUGACGGUACCUAAUCAGAAAGCCACGGCUAACUACGUGCCAGCAGCCGCGGUAAUACGUAGGUGGCAAGCGUUAUCCGGAAUUAUUGGGCGUAAAGCGCGCGUAGGCGGUUUUUUAAGUCUGAUGUGAAAGCCCACGGCUCAACCGUGGAGGGUCAUUGGAAACUGGAAAACUUGAGUGCGGAAGAGGAAAGUGGAAUUCCAUGUGUAGCGGUGAAAUGCGCAGAGAUAUGGAGGAACACCAGUGGCGAAGGCGACUUUCUGGUCUGUAACUGACGCUGAUGUGCGAAAGCGUGGGGAUCAAACAGGAUUAGAUACCCUGGUAGUCC